CCAGUCAGUAAGUUGUUGGAAAGUGUGAGAAUCCCCAGAGAAUCGCCGGAAAUCUCCGGUGGCAGUUCGCCGUCGAAACGGUUGUUCGCGAGUUCGAUUAUCUUGACCGAAGGCAGUUUGAAAAUUCCUGACGGAAUGGCGCCGCUGAGGUAGUUAUUGGAGGCUCGGAUCUUGACGAGAGACUUGCAGUUUCCAAUAUCAUCAGGGAUUUGACCGUGAAAGAAGUUGUCGGUGAUGAGGAAGGUUUGUAACCUCCCACUCUUGCACAAACCCGGAGGGAUCAACCCGGUGAAGUGAUUGGUCGUGACGUCGAAAAACUUUAACCUCCCGUUUUGGCCCAGAUUCGGGGGCAGCACGAAGGAGAAGUUGUUUUCCCAGAGUUGCAGCGUUUCCAGAUUCGGAAGCUCGCCGACGAAGGCGGGAACAGAGCCGCUAAGCUUGUUGUGGAAGAAGUUCAUGAGAGUGAGGUUUCUGAGCUGAGAGAAACUCUGCGGGAUCUCUCCGGUGAGACCGUUGAAGGAGAGAUCCAGUGACAUGAGGCUCUCCAUCGCCGAGAAUUCAGAAGGAAUGGUUCCGGUAAGGUUGUUCAUUUGCAAGAACAACGUGUCAAGUUUCUUCAAACUGCUCAAGCUCGGUGGAAUCUCGCCGCUGAGGUUGCAGCUAGAUAGGUCAAGGUAUAUAAGAGAUUUCAUGGCGCCGAACUCCGGCGGGAUUCCACCUUCGUAAGCGUUGUUGUAUCCGAGUUUUAGAUACUUCAGCGUCUUCAACCGAGACAAACUCUCGGGAAUCUUCCCCGACAAACUGUUAGUGCUUAAGCUCAAAAACUCCAAGCUCUUAAACUCGGAGUAGCUCUCCGGUAUGCUGCCGGAGAAGUAAUUUCCGUCUAGCUUGAGGUAUCGGAGUUUCUCCAGUUUCACGAAUUCCUCCGGAAGCUGUCCGAUGAAGUUGUUGUCGUAGGCGUCGAAAACCUCGAGUUGGGUGAUGGGAAGAAAGCUUUGGCCGGGAAAAUAGUGGGAGAAGGAGUUGUGAGAGAUGUUGAGGAGCUUGAGGGAAGUGAGGGCAGCGAGCUCCUUGGGAAGCUGGCCGGUGAGGUUGUUCUGCGUGAUGGUUAGGUUUUGGAGUUUGUCGAAGUGUCCAAUCUCCGGCGGCAGGUUGCCGAAGAGUGGAACGAAGGAGACGUUGAUAGCAACGACUCGAAGGUCUUGAUCACACGUAACACCAGGAAAUAAACAGUGUGCGGAAAGCGAGGUAGAGAACUUCCAAUCGUGAAGAGCAUCGUCUUUGGCUUUGGCUCCUUUCAUGGAGUCCUUCAGCUUCCGCAAAGCAUCCAUGUCACUGAAGGAAGAACACUUGGCCACGCUGAACCAUACCAAGACCAAGAACAAUAGCCUGUAACACACACCAUUUCUCAUCUCUCUCUCUUCCUUCCUUCUACUCAUACAUUUGGCUGCUCCUUCUUUUGACAUCACACACCUCCUUCUGUCUCUAUUUAUAUACACUGCUAUAACAUACUAAAUUAAACAGCAUGUGUGCAUGCAAUACUAUUUCUGUUUCUACUGAUUCAUAAAGUUCUUCCAAGUGGAUGCCCUAAAAAGUAAAGAAAAGAAUAAUAUGCAUCACCAGUAGCUGCACCAGAUCCACUAUAAGUCUGUGAAACAUCAACCAUAAUUAUGUUUCAAGAAAAUUGUAUACCUAUAUGGGAGAGGUCCUACCAGCAAUUACUUUAGAAAAGCUUUCUCAAAUCUUUUUUAUAUUAAUGUCUACACAUAUCAAGUUAAUUAUUCUUGGUAUAUUUUAUAUAAUAUGACAGUAAUAAUAUUCUUACAUUCUUAAUAUGGGCCAUGCACUCUACUAAAUUGCUUGAUGAUGAAAUAUGCUUGGCUCACCAGUAGCAGCCGAGUCCGCAGAAGGUGGAGUUAGCUUUUGUGAAGAGAAAGAUGCAAUCUCUUCCUGACCAUUCAUGGAGGUUUGAACUUUUCAUGAGCCUCACUUUGCAGUGAAACGAAUUUAACGUGAUUCACCAAAUUUAAAAAGGGAAUACAUGAAAGUUUCUUUAAGUACAAGUCUUCUUAGCUACUGUUCUUUGGUAUAUCACAGGGAUAAUUAGUGCCCGUGCCAAAGCAAAGCAUCGAUUCUGUGUUUUAAGUUGUACUGUCAACGAUCAAGAACUAGAUAUUGCAGAAUCCUAUUCUGUGCAUGACAAUAAAUGGAUAUGCAUAUCAAUGAAAAUUUAAAGCAAAUAUUAUUCAUCUCAAGUUGUUAAAUACAAAUUACCAUUUUGGAGUGUUGUGUCCUUAAACAGACAAGAUGAUAUACAGAUAAACAAAAGUUGUUCUUACAAACUGUUCUUGUAGGCUUCAGUUUUGUGUUAAUCAUGUUUUGGGUAUGAUUACCGUGUAAUAUCUAUUUUGUGGUACUGUUUAAUUAAUCUGAAAUAUGAGAUAACAUGUGUGUAUGAGAAGUGUUUUAGCAUAUAGUCUGAAGAAGGAAAACACAGUGUACAAUAUGAAGGGAUUCCUCAAAGUUGUUGUAGCCUUUUGUUCUGUAUUUGGUUCGAUUGUAGGUACUUUAGAUGAUUCGUAUUAGGCAUAUAAAAAAAAACUUAAGAAUAUUGGUAAAAGAAAAUAGCUAGAGACAAGUUUUUUCUUUUAAUUCUUUUGUUUGUUUUAUUGAAUGCUUAAAAAAGUGUUACAAGGUGAAGAUUCUCUCAGAAUGAUGCUUCAAGAAUGGGUUCAACAAUUAUUUGAUAGUUUUGGAAAUUGGGAGCCAGUGAUAGACGAAUGAGUGGUAGAUGCUUCUCAAAAGUGUUCAAUAUUGUGGUUUGUCAACGCCUGUGAUGAUAGUGACAGUGAGUUAGUGUUGGUGAAGUGCCCACAUAAAUCUUAUAUCAUUGGUCCUUUUAGUUACUUCGUGUUUUACGUGGCAGACACUUUUAAUUCCCUAAGCCUAAUUAAAUUCUAUAUUUCAUUAACCUAAUAAGAAAUUGAAUCCAACACAUUAUCUGCGAAAGAUACACUCUAUAGUUAUAUUUUUAGAUAUCAGGGAUAUCUUUCAUGAUAUUUUUUUCUCUGAAUUGAGUAAAAUUGAUGUUAGGUAAUAAACCAAUUACAUAUUUUAUUACACUUACAAGUUACUCUACUUGUAUAUUUGCAUAUGGGAAGAACUAGAGAAAAUAGAAGAAUAAACAAAACAAAAAAAUGUUUUGGUUUGGGCUUAUAACUGAGUGUUGUGUCAUUUACUAUGUGAAAAUUAAAUUUUAUAUCAUUAAAAUGGGAAACUAAUAGUGAAUAUGUUGAAGUGGCAUAAUUAUAAUUAUUAAAAAAAGUUCUAUAUGGAAUGCGCGUGUAAGUAAUUAAUGUGGAAGAAUGUCUAUUUCAUAAGUAGGUGGAACACUAUAAAAUGUUUUUUCCAAUUAUUACUUAAUUAACGUAGGGGUGGGUUUGUGAGUCUUCGUGUUUUUCUUUUAUUACAAAGAAAGAAUAAAUAGAUGUGAACUGAUUUAGGAGUGUUCCAACCUUUAUAUAAAACGAAAACUCAUCUCUUAAGAACAAAAUAAAAAUUAAAUACUCAUAUGCGAGCAACACAACAGUAGACACCCAACAAAACAAAAUACACAUACACAUACCAUUUUCGAUCAUUACACCUCUCCUUUCCAAAUUAGUCUUUGUGACUAACUUAUUUUCCAACACCCUCCAAGCUGUGACAUGGGUUGAUGACAAAAUCUUAAUCCUCCAAAAAUUUACGUACACGUAAUUGUUUUCCCCUUCAAGCUCACCCCUUAAGAAAACGUAAGCAUACUUGACCGAGUAAGAAGAAUUCACGUCAUCCUUCCAAACUCAGCUAUUUAUCCAAAUCCAACUUAAUCCUCAAACCUUGAAGCUUCUAAAGAAGUUGACUCUCCAUAACCUUUUCCCACUCAAACAUACUCCUUCUUCAAGCUAAUUUUCACUCCCAGACUCCAUCAAUCCAAUUCCCAAACUCAACCAACUUAGACUCAGAAGGAAUGCUCAAGGAGCACAACCUCGAAAAAACGCUCUUCAAAUCACCACAAUCCCCCCAAUUAUCUUUUCAAAAAUUAAUUUCCUUCCUGUUACCAAUCUUCCAUUUGAACGAUCUUCAAACCUCCUUCCCCAACUCUACAAAACCCAAAUCUUUCCACCAAAGGGACACCUUAAAAUUAUUCCUUCGCUCUCUCGAGCUUCUCCAACCUCCGUAGUUGGACUCAAGAAUAUCCUUCCACAAGUCGUCCUUAUCCGUCCCCAAAUGCCAAAUCCAUUUUCCUAAUAGAGCAACAUUGAAAACAUUCAAAUCAAUAAUUCCAAGACCAUCAACCUCGUGAGACUCGCAAAUUUUCUUCCAAGAAGCCCAUGCAAUCUUCCUCCAUUUCGAACCCCACCCCCACAAGAAAUGACCCUGAAUUCUCUCUAUCUCCUUUAGCACCAGAACAUGCACUUUGUAUAGAGACAAAUAAAAUAACAUAAUAGAUGAAAGCACAAACUUAAUCAAGAAAAUUCUCCCAGCCAAAGAGAGAAGCCUACCUUUCCACCUUCCCAGUCUAGUCUUUAAUCUUUCAAUCACCUCUCUUAUGACACCCCCCAACCAUCAUUUCCAAGUAUUUAAAAGGAGUUGUCAUCACCUUACAAUUAGGAAUAGCCGCAAAUCGUUGUGUCGUUGUCUGAUCACCGAGACAUAUUCUAAACAAGACUUGAUCCAUUUAAUCCAUUUGUCACAUAACUCUUCCCAUCAUAUAAUAAAUAAACUCCCAACUUAUAGGGUCAUAAGCUUUCUCAUAAUCAACCUCAAAGAAAACACAACUUUUCUUCUUUCUCUUCAACUUCUCAAUGACUUCAUUGGCCACAAGCACUCCAUCCAAUAAAUCCCGUCCUUCAAGAAAAGGGGCAUAUCUAACAUCAAUAAUUUUGUUAAUCACCCUUUUCAGUCUAAGAGAUAAAGCUUUCGAAAUAAUUUUAUAUAAGCAACCAACCAACGAAAUAGGUCUAAAAUCACUAAGUUGUUGAGGAUUAUUAACUUGAGGAAUCAAGCAUAAAAAAGACGCAUUUGACCCCCUAGGCCAUUUCCCUCUAGCCGCAAAGUCUUUCAUUGCUGACAAAACAUCCUCUUUACUGAAGUCCCAACUAAACUUUAGGAACCCAAAAUUAAAAUCAUCUAGACCGGGGACUCUUUCACCUGUCACAAUUCCAUAUUUUGUCCUUUAUUUCUUCAAAAAAAAAUCUCCAACCAACAUCUCGUUAUCUUUCCCGGUAAUGACAUUAAAUAUUAUUCAUCCUGAUCUGGAAAGCUUCUUCCCCGACAAACCUAGACUUGAAAAAAUCUUGGACAUUGUCAUUAACCACAUUGUUAUCAACAUACCAUGGUCAAUCCCUAUUUUUCUAAAUGAAACAACAAACCUUUUGACUUGUUUUUUUAUUAAUCAUUGUCAUCAUCACAAAUUCAAACAAACUUUAUUAUUUUGUUUUCUAUUUAGUAAAUCUUUUACUUGAUUAUUCAACUAUUUCUUGUGGAUUCGAUAUUCGUUUUUAGAAACAAAUUAUUACUUCAGACAACACGAUCACUUACCGUAAAAAGUUAUCAUUCAUAUAUAUAUUUUUUAAUCCAUAUUUCAUAUUUUAAUAAUGUGAAUCCAAAGUGUGAACCAUGUUUGAUUUUUUCACUAUAUUAGCGCAAUUUAAUACGUUAAUGAUUGAAACAAGUAAAAUUGAAAACAUUAUCAAAAGGAAUAAGUAAAGUCAAGCUCAUAACUUUGACUUUAUAAAAGUAAAGUUACAACUUUGACUUUAUAAAAGUAAAGUUAUAAAAGUAAAGUUAUGUCAAGUGAUACAUAUUUAAACAUAAUUAGUCAUGUCACUUAACACAAUUUUAGUUUAAAAAGAUAAAAAAAUAGUGUCUAUUUUACAUAACUUAUUUACAAUAAAAUCUAUGAACUUUGACACAACUUAUCUAUUUUAAUAAUUUUUAAUUUUUUUUUUCAAUUUCAAUAAUCAACUUAUCAAUUUCACUAGUUUGAUGAAAAGAAUCAUCAUGUUCAUCCCAUUUGCCACACUAUCUAUGGACCAUUAAGGUGAACGUCAUUUAAAACCCUACUCCAAGUAGCAAUUGUUUUGAGUCUUCUAAAGUAAAUUUUUUAGAUUUUAGGUCUUGUGAAAAUGUGAAAAUAUGGACACUAAAAGAGAUUCGUUAAAUGUGAUUAUUUGAACAUAUACACUCAAGUUUCAUUUUCACCAAAAACAAAUACAUGCAGUAGAAAACGAGAAAGAUUAAAAAAUGUUUAAUUAUGUUAUCAAUUAACCAUGGUUCAUUGAUUAAAAAAAUGUAAAAUGAUCAUAUUCAACACUAUUAACUAAAUUAAUAAUCUGUCUUCAUUACAAAUAACUUGUUGGUUACAGUUUGAAAUAAUACAGAUGUAGAUAAUUUAUAAUAACAGAUAUUAUAUUUAGAAAUGUAAAAAUGGGAGUGGUAGCUGAAACUGAAGCUGAAGCUGAAACAGGGUUUAACGAGGAUCUUUGAUUGAGAGAGAGGUUGGGGUUCCCCGCAAAGGCGUUGUCGUUGAAAACAGAAAACUGGCCACCAGUUGGGAGCUCGCCGUUGAAAUUGUUGAAGGAGAGAUCCAGCAUGACCAAGCUACUCAUCAACCCAAUCUCCUCAGGGACUCGCCCUGUCAAAUUGUUUCUCGAAACAUUCAAAAUGCUCAAGCUCGAGAGCUUUUUUAUGCCGUUUGGAAUCUCUCCGACGAGCAUGUUCCGGCUGAGGUCAACGGAGGAGAGUGAAACGCAGUGAAUCAUCGUCGUUGGGAUUGCUCCCGUCAGAUUGUUGCCGCUUAUGUUUACGGUGGUUAGCAUUGGUAAGACAAAAACCUCCCCCGGGAUUUCUCCAACCAACUCGUUCGCGUCGAGUGAGAGUGUCUGCAGUGCCCUCAAGUUCUUCAACGCCGGGGGGAUUCUCCCAGUCAGUAAGUUGUUGGAAAGUGUGAGAAUCCCCAGAGAAUCGCCGGAAAUCUCCGGUGGCAGUUCGCCGUCGAAACGGUUGUUCGCGAGUUCGAUUAUCUUGACCGAAGGCAGUUUGAAAAUUCCUGACGGAAUGGCGCCGCUGAGGUAGUUAUUGGAGGCUCGGAUCUUGACGAGAGACUUGCAGUUUCCAAUAUCAUCAGGGAUUUGACCGUGAAAGAAGUUGUCGGUGAUGAGGAAGGUUUGUAACCUCCCACUCUUGCACAAACCCGGAGGGAUCAACCCGGUGAAGUGAUUGCUCGUGACGUCGAAGAACAUGAGCCUCCCAUUUUGGCCCAGGUUUUGAGGUAGCGCGCAGGAGAAGUUGUUCGCCCAGAGCUGCAGCGUU
This 7350-nucleotide long non-coding RNA is filed under the name Phaseolus vulgaris (common bean). RNAcentral describes it as "long non-coding RNA (PVUL_LNC000063)". The record is from RNAcentral. Lineage: Eukaryota; Viridiplantae; Streptophyta; Magnoliopsida; Fabales; Fabaceae.